AUUGAACGCUGGCGGCAGGCCUAACACAUGCAAGUCGAGCGGAUGAAGGGAGCUUGCUCCUGGAUUCAGCGGCGGACGGGUGAGUAAUGCCUAGGAAUCUGCCUGGUCGUGGGGGAUAACGUUCGGAAACGGGCGCUAAUACCGCAUACGUCCUGAGGGAGAAAGUGGGGGAUCUUCGGACCUCACGCUAUCAGAUGAGCCUAGGUCGGAUUAGCUAGUUGGUGGGGUAAAGGCCUACCAAGGCGACGAUCCGUAACUGGUCUGAGAGGAUGAUCAGUCACACAGGACAGGAGAGACGGUCCAGACACCUACGGGAGGCAGCAGGGGGGAAGAUUGGACGAUGGGCGAAAGCAUGAUCGAGCCAGGCCGCGUGUGUGAAGAAGGUCUUCGGAUUGUAAAGCACUUUAAGUUGGGAGGAAGGGAAGUAAGUUAAUACCUGGCUGGUUGAACGUUACAAACAGAAUAAGCACCGGCUAACUUCGU
Molecule: ribosomal RNA, 483 nt
Filed under: uncultured bacterium
Lineage: Bacteria
Description: partial 16S ribosomal RNA
Rfam family: Bacterial small subunit ribosomal RNA
Source: RNAcentral